Long non-coding RNA from Suricata suricatta (meerkat), 226 nucleotides. RefSeq lists it as uncharacterized. Lineage: Eukaryota; Metazoa; Chordata; Mammalia; Carnivora; Herpestidae. The record is from RefSeq and is a predicted model, not a curated record. The transcript is spliced from 2 exons.
UGCAAAGACCCAUGUUUUUAAUUACUAUGAAUUUGACUUGUAGGAUUUCACUGUCCCCCUUCUCUGCUGCUUCUUGAACUUGCCAGCCCAGCACACCUGUGAGGAAGGUCCUGCGGCUCGCAGUAGCACAACUGGAGACCCAACGCAGGUCCUGUAUCUGAGGGCUCUGCUAGCCUGAAACAAGAAGAUGUUGACCAAAGAUGAAUAAAUAUGAAACGUUUGUCCA